UUGGUGGUGUUAUGGGAAAUUCAUUGAAGUGAUCAAUGCUUACCAUAUCCGCUUGAUAGAAAAAAAAAGUAGAGAGAAAUUGAGGGUUGGAUGAGAAGUCUUAAAGAAAGAAAAUGCUUUGAAAAAGAAAGAAAGAAAAUGAAGAAAUGAGACUUGAAUCCUCCAAAAGUUGAAAAUGGUUGUAUGUGGGGCAACUAGAGUGGAAAUAAGAAAAAGAAUAAUGAAAAAUAGUGUGGAAUGUGCAUGGGUUUGAAAAGUGGAGAAAGUUGGAAAAUAUGAGUUGUUGUGUAGUGUUCAAGGAGGGUGUAGUCACCUAUACCUAAAUGAUAUCCUAACCUUUCCUAAGCCUAUAUUACAAGCUUAACAAAGUCCUUUGAGAUUUCUAACCAAAUGGAGUUGAGUCAAAAAUGAUUGAAAAUAUGGGCAAGCCUAUUGUGUGACAUUUGUGUACAUGAGAUGAUUCUUUGUGAGUGUGAGUGUUGCAUCUUUGUUGUCCCAUGUCUUGUUUAUAUGUGUGUGCGGUUUUGGGACGCUUCUUUCAUGUGAGGGCAUGUAAGCUGAAAAAGUGGUGAUUUUGAAAAUUCCUAAUUGAGUCAAGUGAGCAUGUGAAAGUGUUAAUGAGUUGAGUCAUCUCUUGAGUUUGAGUUGUUGUCACUUAAAUGAUUCUUGGUUUUUAAAAAUGUAAUGAGAAUGAGAGGAUUUCUUAUGUGAAAAAAGUUUGCAUGUGGACUAUUUGUUAGUACCAACCGGAGCCAUUACCUUUGUGCUUAAUUGAGAAAUGGAAAUUGAUUUGUGGUGUGUCUUGAAAUAUGAGCCUCUUGUGUUCGAACGUUACUAAGAGUUUGGUAUUUUUUUUUUUUUUUUUGAACUUGGUAACUUUGUAUUAUAUCACAAAACAGUACAUGGGUCGUACUGUAACCUUAUAUACAAGAGUACUCCUGAUUUCACUUCUCUACGUCUAAAUUGAGUCUAACACAUCAAUAAUAGAGACAGUGUCAUUAGAGUAUAACUGAUUACACCAAAUGACUAAAAGUAAAAUGCAGUUUAGUUUAACUUUCUGCACAUUGUUCUCUAUGCUCUCAAAACAUCUUGAAUUCCUUUGACCGCUUACUCUGUUAACUUGUUUUGAGGGUGAUUUGAGCGUCAUCAAUUGUUUAAGCUUUUUGUAAAAAGUUUUAAACAUGUGUGUUGUAUAUUACUUCCUAGUGAUGCAAAUAUCCAGCUUCUUUUCACUGUUGUGGAGAAUACACCAUCUGAAACAGUUUGAUCAAAUUGCACUGUUGGUAUUGGAGAUCUGGCAGUUCGUUUUUCUAAUCUGUUAGAGCCAUGGACAGAGCAUAUGUAUGCAUGAUUAAGAGAUCGUUCAUUCUCAUCUAAUACUUACUGAAUGACAUGAAGGUGGAAGUUUAUAUAAAUGAAAUGGCCAACUGUUUGGAAGAUGAAGAUGAAAGAAUUUCAAAUCUUGCCAAACUUUCUUUCAUGAGUUGUCAAAGAAAAGUGAUGCAAAUCUCCAGCUUCUUUUCACUGUUGUGGAGAAUGCACCAUCUGAAACAGUUUGAUCAAAUUGCACUGUUGGUCUUGGAGAUCUGGCAGUUCGUUUUCCUAAUCUGUUAGAGCCAUGGACAGAGCAUAUGUAUGCAUGAUUAAGAGAUCGUUCAUUCUCAUCUAAUACUGAAUGACAUGAAGGUGGAAGUUUAUAUAAAUGAAAUGGCCAACUGUUUGGAAGAUGAAGAUGAAAGAAUUUCAAAUCUUGCCAAACUUUCUUUCAUGAGUUGUCAAAGAAAAGUGUAAACAGGAUGAAUCGGAUAACUUACUGCCUUACUACUCUUUUACAUUGUGCCUGCUGGUUGAAUAUCUCUUGUUCUAAUUUCAGGAGAAUGCACAAAAAAUUGCUUAAUAUUUAUCUUUUCCAAUCGACGGGUGAAGAAUUGCAAUUAUGCAGGUCUUCCUCCAGGAAGGUCUUUGCACUUCUCUCAACACUUCUCUCAGGUUAUGGAUGCAGGAUUAGUGCUGAGUUUUCUAACAGGUUCUUUGGCACUCUUUAAGCAUGUUGUUGAGGCUACGAAGUACUUAGCAUUAUAGUCAGUUUUGUGAUGCAAAUCUCCAGCUUCUUUUCACUGUUGUGGAGAAUACACCAUCUGAAACAGUUUGAUCAAAUUGCACUGUUGGUCUUGGAGAUCUGGCAGUUCGUUUUUCUAAUCUGUUAGAGCCAUGGACAGAGCAUAUGUAUGCAUGAUUAAGAGAUCGUUCAUUCUCAUCUAAUACUUACUGAAUGACAUGAAGGUUUGGCUGGACUAUCAAACAUUUAUACUUAGCUUUCAUGUGUAAGAAUUUUUAUCAUCUUGAUUUGCGUGUAUCAUUAUUAGGUGGAAGUUUGUGUAAAUGAAAUGGCCAACUGUUUGGAAGAUGAAGAUGAAAGAAUUUCAAAUCUUGCCAAAACUUUCUUUCAUGAGUUGUCAAAGAUAAGGCAAUGAGUGCAAGAUCGAUGCUGAGUUUUCUGACCGGUUCUUUAGCACUCUUUAAGCAUGUUCCUAAGGCUACCAAGUACUUCAACAUUAUAUGAUGCAAAUCUCCAGCCUCUUCACUGUUUUGGAGAAUGCACCAUCUGAAACAGUUCGAUCAAAUUGCACUGUUACUCUUGGAGAUCUGGAACUCGUUUUCCUAAUCUGUUAGAGCCAUGGACAGAGCAUACGUAUGCAUGAUUAAGAGAUCGUUCAUUCUCAUCUAAUACUGAAGACAUGAUGAAGGUGGAAAUUUAUAUAAAUGGAAUGGCCAACUGUUUGGAAGAUGAAGAUGAAAGAAUUUCAAAUCUUGCCAAACUUUCUUUCAUGAGUCGUCAAAGAAAGGAAUGUUCCUCACAUUCAUAUACAUGAAAACGGGAAAACAAAGACCGGUGGCAUGGUGCUGAAAUCCAGAUUGUCAUUGAAAGGAACUGGACAACGUACCGAUCCAAAGUCAAUGCAUUAUAUGUGACAAAUGGCUGUCAUCAAGCCCAAUGCCCAAUUCCUUUUCCAAUUCAUAUCAGAUUCUCCCGAUGAAGAGAUUGGCAGAAGUAAAUUUAAUCCCAUGAUUGGUCUGGGUGACCAUGAACGUAGAGAUGAAGCCCUAUAUGAUGAUUUUGAGACAGCAAAGGCUCGUGAGAAAAGACUAGCCAAGGAAGCUCGGGUUCUAGAGAUUCAAGCAAAGAAUGUUGCUCUUGGGAAGAAAGUUUUUCCCUGCAGCUACAAAGGCAGCUAAGGGUAGGGAGGCAUUAUAUUAUAGGGUGACAAGCAAGGAUAAUGGAAGAGGAAUGUCACAUGAUGAUAUCCCGAAUAUGUUUGUAGAGGUUUGAUGUGCUUGCCAUU
RNA transcript from Solanum tuberosum (potato), 3344 nucleotides. It is a transcript of the gene named DNA topoisomerase 6 subunit B-like, with no coding region annotated. The transcript has 16 exons. Lineage: Eukaryota; Viridiplantae; Streptophyta; Magnoliopsida; Solanales; Solanaceae. The record is from RefSeq and is a predicted model, not a curated record.